RNAcentral lists this ribosomal RNA (484 nucleotides) under uncultured bacterium. RNAcentral's name for it is "partial 16S ribosomal RNA". It matches the Rfam family "Bacterial small subunit ribosomal RNA", at positions 30 to 507 of the family's 1533-position model. The record is from RNAcentral.
AUUGAACGCUGGCGGCAGGCCUAACACAUGCAAGUCGAGCGGAUGAACGGAGCUUGCUCCUGGAUCCAGCGUCGCACGGGUGUGUAAUGCCUAGGAAUCUGCCUGGUUGUGUGGGAUAACGUCUGGAAACGGGUGCUAAUACGGAAUACGUCCUGAUGCAGCAAGAGGGGGAACUUCGGACCUCCCGCUAUCGGAUGAGUCUAGGUCGGAUUAGCUAGCUGGUGGGGGAUAGGCCUACCAAGGCGACGAUUCGUAACUGGUCUGACAGUCUGAUCAGUCACCCUGGAAGUGAGACACGGUCCAGACACCUACGGGAAGCCGCAGUGGGGAAUCCUGGGCAAUGGGGGAGAGCCUGAUCCAGCCAUGCGGCGUGUGUGAAGAAGGUCUUACGAUUGGAAAGCACUUUAAGUUGUGAGGAAGGGCAGUAAGUUAAGACCUUGCUGUUUUGACGUUACCAGCAGAAGAAGCACCGGCUAACUUCGUG